CGGCUGAUGAAUUGCUUGACCAAGUACACAUGCAACCAUUACGCCCUAAUAAUUGGUAGAAGAAUCAAAUUAAACCAUAUCUUAAAAACAAAUCUAUUUAUAGAGAAGAACAAAGAAUGAUUACUCACUUAUGUGUUACGUUAAAAACGGACAUAAUUUGACAAAAGCCAAAAUAAACAAUGGACACAAUGUAUAGACCAGAGAACACAAAGAUCGGAUUACGUUGGAACCAAAGAAGACACAGGCCUGCAAAAUUUGUCGGUAGAACACACACAGAUGAGAAUCAUAAUUUGCAUUUGUUAAUCAUAUAGUAUAUGAUACUAUAAUAAUAAUACUAAUGUUUUGAUAUAUAAAAGAAUGAGAUUAUGUGUUACCGUUCGGUUUCCAGGAUUGGCCACCGUUUAGUUCAGAUGCAAUGCAUUUACACGUUGAUGUCGAAGUUUUGAUUGAUUCUUCUCCUCACAAUUUCACAUUAUUAAAUUUUGCAUUUGGACUUUCAGGCGAAUGGACCAAUACGACUUACUUGCUCUUCACAGAAAUGUUGUACUCUUACUAUUUUUUUUCUUCUUUAAUACGUAUGAAAAUUUUAUAUCAAAACCUGUCGGACGGAGUACCGGCAACUUAUUCAAGUUUUCUGAAAAUAUUUACUAAAUAGAAUUUUGCACAAAUUCAAGAAGUGUUAACAUAUUCCAUUGAUAGAAAACUUUGUGAUCUAUAUUUUGUUUAAGGAUUUUUCAAUGAUUUUUGAUUUUUUUAAAUGUU
Molecule: long non-coding RNA, 762 nt
Filed under: Capsella rubella
Lineage: Eukaryota; Viridiplantae; Streptophyta; Magnoliopsida; Brassicales; Brassicaceae
Description: long non-coding RNA (CRUB_LNC004802)
Source: RNAcentral